AGCGUGUGCGGUAAACAGAGGCCGUCUGCCGCACCCUCACUCCCCUUUCCUAUGCAUGUAAUGAGAUACAUAGCCCCAUCUUCGAUGCCUCCCGUACGCGCGCUGCUCUCCGCUUGAGAUGUGGCCCUUGCGCAGCCGUGGCCGCAGUACUGCUGUUGCUGUUGCUGCUGAUGCUCACCGUCACCUCAACGUCAGCCGUCGUCCUCUCCGCCACGGCGGCAGCCACGACAUGCGACACCCCCUCACUACACCGCAUGCGACGCCCGCUGUCAUCUUACGUGCUUUGUGGGCGAAGGCGGCAGCCACUACACUCCCCGUGCACGGCUACUUCCAGCUACCGCCGCCACAAUACCUCCCCCUAACUGCAUCAACCGCAUCGCCAACAAGUGACUCUACUGCGAGGACAGCCACUGCACUAAGAGUGGCGUCUGCGCACCGUGCGAGGAGGCGCGCUCGCCGACCGCUGCAUCACCUGUGAGGAGGGUUACACACUGAGGUACACCCGAGACGACAACGCCGGCACGAACAUCAGCAAGCUGGACGCGUGCGAGAGGAAAACGGCUCCCGCUGCUGGCAAUGCCCGCCUCAUGCGGGCAUCUGUCGCUCACGCAGUGACCCUUCGCACCCUCUCCGCUGCCGCGCUGUGUGCCUUCUGCGUGACACCGUGUUUCCUUUCAGGUGGCCUGCGAGGCGCGCGACAGAGAGGCGUUGUGACUUCUCCUGCUGAAGGGAAGGCGGUGACUCGUUGGGCGGAGAGCUUCCCUGCUCACUCCCCACAUUUUCUUUUUGCGUUGUCCGUGACGCACCCCUCACCGCUUCUUGUUCGACUGACCUCAUCGCUUACCCCGUCUCCGUGUUGUGUCUUCGGCCGAUCACUGCCGUUCUCUGUGUGUGUGUGCCCGUCUCUGCCUCUGCAUGCUUGCGCCGCAUCCUUCUUUUGCGCUGCCCUCUUGCUCAUGUGCACGUACCCCUUUCUCGCCCUCCUCCCCAUGUCUGCCACUGGGUGUGAGACGUGAUGGACAAGGGAAGAGGUAGACAGCGCACGGCUGUAGAGCUUAUCAAACCGAUAAGCAGCGAUUCCACAAGGGGCGGUGCGCAAGCGGUCAGCGCACCCCCUCCUCUGGCGACGCUCAAUACGUUGGCGCCAUCACCCGUGGCAGACCAGAAAAGUAUGGAUGGGGGGGCCCAUCAGCUGCGUAAAUCGCCGUCCUCUUACCCCCCCCCCCCCCCCCCCCCCACUUUCUCUGAUCUCACACCUGCGAGGGCAGGAAACAUCGAUGCGUGUGUGCGCCUGUGAUGGCGGCGUAUGCGAGAGGGUGCGCGGGGCGUGUGGAAAGCACCUCUCUGUAUGUGCGUGAAUGACCGACUCAUCGACGCCUGCACUCCGACACCGCCAUGAUGAUGAUGGCCAUCGCGCAUGCAGAUGGGCACACGGAGAGGGUGACAGAAAUGACAGAUGCACUCGAGGGGACGCACGAGCUGCGAGUUGAAGAGCCGGCCGGAAGUGGGCAGCGGGGUGCCCGCCUCCCCCCCCCCCCCCCCCCCCCCCCGCAAACCCCACGCGAGGAAAGCGCUGCCACACCAAAGGAAGAGAUCGAAAACGAACACACACACACACGAAGGAGCGUUCGCGGAGAGGGAGAGAGAAGGAGGUGAGAGCACCCGGAGUGGUCGCCGGUGCGGUGCCGGCCGGUGCCGGCUUGAAUUUCAUAUUUUCUUGGUUUGAUUGCGGGUGUCGAGAAGUCGGCGGUCGAUGCUGUGGCGAGGUUGAUCAGGUCACGCAUCUGUGGCGUCGCUAUUUCUCUUGGCCUGUCACCUUGCCUCUUCCACUCCCUCUCUCUCGUGCCUCUGCGCUCGAUUUUAACGUCCGUCUUCUCCAACUAAUCUCCGUGUGCAGUCUCUGCUGUGGCAGCAACGCACCGGCGUCUUCGCUUGUGUAUGGCAGGCGUGGGUAACUCUGUGCGCACCGCAC
This 1972-nucleotide unclassified non-coding RNA is filed under the name Leishmania donovani. RNAcentral describes it as "gene:unknown". Lineage: Eukaryota; Euglenozoa; Kinetoplastea; Trypanosomatida; Trypanosomatidae. The record is from RNAcentral.